RNAcentral lists this ribosomal RNA (493 nucleotides) under uncultured bacterium. RNAcentral's name for it is "partial 16S ribosomal RNA". It matches the Rfam family "Bacterial small subunit ribosomal RNA", at positions 28 to 507 of the family's 1533-position model. The record is from RNAcentral.
GACGAACGCUGGCGGCGUGCUUAACACAUGCAAGUCGAACGGUGAAGGGACCGGUUUUUGCUGGUUCUGGAUGAGUGGCGGACGGGUGAGUAACACGUGAGUAACCUGCCCCCUUCUUCUGGAUAACCGCAUGAAAGUGUGGCUAAUACGGGAUAUUCUGCGCCUGCUGCAUGGUGGGUGUGGGAAAGAUAUUGUUUCGGUGGGGGAUGGGCUCGCGGCCUAUCAGCUUGUUGGUGGGGUGAUGGCCUACCAAGGCGGUGACGGGUAGCCGGCCUGAGAGGGUGGACGGUCACACUGGGACUGAGACACGGCCCAGACUCCUACGGGAGGCAGCAGUGGGGAAUAUUGCACAAUGGGCGCAAGCCUGAUGCAGCGACGCCGCGUGAGGGAUGGAGGCCUUCGGGUUGUAAACCUCUUUCGCCAGUGAAGCAGGCCUGUCCCUUUUGUGGGUGGGUUGACGGUAGCUGGAUAAGAAGCGCCGGCUAACUACGUG